GUACAGCGGGGAGCCCUCUGCCAUCUCCAGCUGCUGCAGGGCCCCAUUCUCCCCGUCCAAGUAGAAGAAAUAGGAGCCGGUUUCGAAAAGGAGCUGCUGAAACCCUAUCCAACUUUUAGCUGUCGCGGUGCAUCACCCUCCAAAACUGAUUCCAGCCAGUCUCCUGGGCGCUGUCCUGAGAACAUCUCCUAUUUAGAAGGCUGGGAAGGAGGGGGAACAUGGGGAGGGAGGCAAAGAGAAGAAAAAAAGGAAAACAAACGACGAAGAAAAAUGCCCCCCAAAGGCCUGUGAACUUGGGACGAGGAGUUUCUUCACUGCUGCUCUGGAGGUGUUUGGAACGAGACAGAGAUUAGAUCAAUUUACAGAAAUGGAAACUUCAGAAGAAGUGUUCAUAAAAUGCCCUCUUGGAGAGUUUUAACUUGACUAAAGGAGUUAGGAAAGUAGAAAUUGAGGAGCCAGAUACUCCUUCAACUGUCAACAGAUUGAUUUUUUUGCUUUAAGCAGGAAACAAAAAGUUCUUUCUUUCCAGACUGAUUCAUUAAGAGCUGGAGUAAACACACCUAGUUCCUCAAAGUAACGUGGGGACAACAAAGGUAGCCCUUUAUUGAGCAAAAUUCUUCUCAGUUGUAACUGAAUUUUAGUUUGAGUGAAAUUGGCCAUUUCCCUAUCAUGUAAGCAACUUUGAUUUUGCUUUAGCCAUUGCGUUUCAUCCCCUAUUCUAGCUCCUUGGUCAACAUAACAGCUAGCAAGCAACUGUAGCCUAUAUGAACAAAGUACCCUUAAUAACUUUCACCAUUAAAAAAGCAUUACAAAUAGAGGAGUCAGAAAUUGAUGCUUGUCUUUGUUCUCUCACACCUUGCAUCUGUAUCGGAAGUAAAAGAUAUGAACAAGAAAAACUGGGCAUGGCACUGGAAUGGGGAUCUCUGAGGAAGUCCAUCUGUAAGUUAGCCAACUGGGUAGCUCUUCACAGGAAAACUUGCUCUCAUUCUGUGAAGACUGUAUGUUACCCAGUUGUUACUCCUUCCACCAGAAAGCUGUGGUACUUUCAGUACAUUUGCAAACACACAGAAACAGAUGAGAUGUACUGUAUUUUGCUGAUUUAUGAGAUCUGUUAACGCUACCAAGGAAAUACUAAGUCAAGAUGACCCCAAAUCCAAGAAACAUAGAUUGCAUUUUCUGUCACGGCUGAUCUCUAGGACCUCAGUCGUUCUUUCCUCCAAAUGAAUUCCAGAUUUUUUUACAUAAUUGUGAUGAGCUGAUAAUGCCAAGGUCAUUCUUGACAUCUUAUGACUUGAGCAGAAAUCUAAUCUAGAAUUACAGAUAAAUAUUUUGUUAUUUUGGACCCCAGGGCCCUGCAUGCCACUGCAAAUAUCCCCUUCUUCACUCUUUUUUUUCUGUCCUGCUCUCAGUGAUUUCCCAUUCACACAGAAGAUCUUAUCACCUGAGUUUGGCAGUGUAUUCAUGUAAAGCUAGGUGACCUAUCUGGGGAUGUAUGCUAAUAUCCACGUUUAGUUUUUUUUUGUUUUUUUUG
Molecule: long non-coding RNA, 1531 nt
Organism: Phasianus colchicus (ring-necked pheasant)
Lineage: Eukaryota; Metazoa; Chordata; Aves; Galliformes; Phasianidae
Source: RefSeq, a predicted model, not a curated record